Molecule: unclassified non-coding RNA, 330 nt
Filed under: soil metagenome
Description: partial contains 5.8S ribosomal RNA, internal transcribed spacer 2, and large subunit ribosomal RNA
Rfam family: 5.8S ribosomal RNA (bases 1-120)
Source: RNAcentral
GAUGAAGAACGUAGCGAAAUGCGAUACGUAAUGUGAAUUGCAGAUUUCAGUGAAUCAUCGAAUCUUUGAACGCACAUUGCGCCCGCCAGUAUUCUGGCGGGCAUGCCUGUUCGAGCGUCAUUUCAACCAUCAAGCGCCUCGCUUGUGUUGGGGCCCUGCGGCUGCCGCAGGCCCCUAAAUCCAGUGGCGGGCUCGUCGUCGUACCGAGUGCAGUAAACAUCCUCGCUCAGGGAACCCGACGGGUGCCGGCCGUGAAACCCCCCCUCCUCAAGGUUGACCUCGGAUCAGGUAGGAAUACCCGCUGAACUUAAGCAUAUCAUAAGCGGAGGA